Molecule: ribosomal RNA, 558 nt
Filed under: Lamellibrachia barhami
Lineage: Eukaryota; Metazoa; Annelida; Polychaeta; Sabellida; Siboglinidae
Description: partial large subunit ribosomal RNA
Rfam family: Bacterial large subunit ribosomal RNA
Source: RNAcentral
GAUCGCCUGUUUAUCAAAAACAUUGCCUCUCGACUCAACAAUGAGAGGUUCAUCCUGCCCAAUGACAACAUAGUUCAAUGGCCGCGGUACCCUGACCGUGCAAAGGUAGCAUAAUCACUUGCCCCUUAAUUAGGGGCUGGCAUGAAAGGACACACGAAAGCUUCCCUGUCUCACAAUAACAAAUAAAAAUUAAUCUUCAAGUGAAAAAGCUUGAAUCAAACUGCAGGACAAGAAGACCCCGUUGAGCUUUAUUCUCUAUAGACUAAAUUAAAUAUUAAAUAUAUCAUAAACCUAAAAAGAAUUUAGUUGGGGUGACUAAGGAACACCAAAAACUUCCUUUUAUUAAUUAGGAUCAUUCUCCAUACAAAUUGACCCAUUACACAUGAUCAAAAAAAUAAGCUACCACAGGGAUAACAGGCUAAUCUUUCUCAAGAGCCCAAAUUGUCAGAAAGGAUUGGCACCUCGAUGUUGGCUUAGGGGCCCCUAAUGGUGCAGAAGCCAUAAAUGGUAGGUUUGUUCAACCUUUAAAACCCUACGUGAUCUGAGUUCAGACCGGAG